RNAcentral lists this ribosomal RNA (142 nucleotides) under uncultured eukaryote. RNAcentral's name for it is "partial 18S ribosomal RNA". It matches the Rfam family "Eukaryotic small subunit ribosomal RNA", at positions 1299 to 1458 of the family's 1831-position model. The record is from RNAcentral.
UGGUGGAGUGAUUUGUCUGGUUAAUUCCGUUAACGAACGAGACCCCCGCCUGCUAAAUAGCUGGCGUCCCGGGCCUCCCGGGGCGACCAGCUUCUUAGAGGGACACUGGGCGACUAGCCCAGGGAAGUUGGGGGCAAUAACA